UAAUAUUCGCGUUUUUAUGAGCUACGAUCACGUGUAGUACCUGUUCUUUAUAGUGUAAUUUCUGAAACGGUUUUUUAAGUGUAAAUAAUAAAAAUGCCUUCUUUUCAACUGUGAGAAUAGGUGUUAUGUCCUUGCUUAAUUCGCCCCCACUCAUUGGACUCGUUUUGCAAAACCUCGAACAUUGCUCCAUGC
Molecule: small nuclear RNA, 192 nt
Filed under: Schistosoma japonicum
Lineage: Eukaryota; Metazoa; Platyhelminthes; Trematoda; Strigeidida; Schistosomatidae
Description: U2 spliceosomal RNA
Rfam family: U2 spliceosomal RNA
About the family: U2 is a small nuclear RNA (snRNA) component of the spliceosome (involved in pre-mRNA splicing).
Source: Rfam by way of RNAcentral